GCAAAGACUUUGGUGUGGUAGAGCAUGAGACUCUUGAUCUCGGGGUCGUGGGUUCGAGCCCGACGUUGGGCA
This is a non-coding RNA of Podarcis lilfordi (Lilford's wall lizard), 72 nucleotides long. NCBI's taxonomy places the organism in Eukaryota, Metazoa, Chordata, Lepidosauria, Squamata, Lacertidae. The record is from the annotation of a GenBank genome assembly.